This 6303-nucleotide unclassified non-coding RNA is filed under the name Leishmania donovani. RNAcentral describes it as "gene:LdHU3.35.0650(CDS-product:Protein_kinase_dom ain/Protein_tyrosine_kinase/EF-hand_domain_containing_prote in_putative)". The record is from RNAcentral. Lineage: Eukaryota; Euglenozoa; Kinetoplastea; Trypanosomatida; Trypanosomatidae.
UGCUUGAGGGUCUUGUGCACCCCGCACAAUUUGUUGGUGGUCGACAUAUAAGCGCGUAACAGCGCAUCUGUGUGGGUGCGUGUGCCGAAGAACUCUACGUUGAGAGACAUACCCAUAUAAGGCCCCGGGUAGCCGUCUCAUUCGACGCAGCGACGAGACGAGUCUGAGAGGAAGAACGCGUCGGGACGUGACGCACAUUCACAGACGCAAAGUCAAGGGGCGCCGGUGAAUUUUCUCUCUGCUGCCUCUCGCUGUCCUUGUCUUUGGCGACGUGGCUUCCACAAAAGCCCCUGCCGUCACAUAAUUGGGUAGCGGGGAAGUGAAGCUUGCACACACAAGAUAGACACGCGCAUACGGAGGCAGGGAGCUGAAGGAAAGAGGAACCAAGAUCGAGGAGGGACGCGAGACAGCCGGGCACGUUUUGGCUGGAGUUGCCGUGCGUGCGUGUGCCUUUUUGCGGACUACGCUGUCUCUCUUUUCGCCUUGCCUUCCCACCACUACUACCACCACGACCGCUCAGCUGUCUCUCUUUUAGUUGAUUGCGUGUAAUCCAUACGAGUCUUUUUUUUCCUCCUUUGUUGCUACUGUGUAUCGCGUUACGUUGUCGUCUGUUUGCGGCGUCCUUUACAGUUUUGCUUUUGUGUGUGUGUGUGUGUGUGUGUCCGUUUUUUUUUGCUUUCGAAGAAUUAUUUCCUUGCGGCACACGCAGCGAAAAACAACAACACGCCAACCCAACAACACGCACACCCCAGACAAGCCGCUCCCCCCUCCCUCUCACAGAGCCACGCGCAGCGCAACACGGCGCGUACGCACCAAAAUUUGUUUCGUUGCUGUUGAUUUUGUUUAUCAGCCGUCAUCCCCCCACCCCUCCCCCUUUUCCAUUUUAGGUAUCUUCCCUCCCCCUCCCUCCCCUAAAAGAAAAAAAGCCGCUAAUUCCAUCAACACUCAUCACCUACACACCGCCACUCUGCGCGCUUGUUGGCGGAAGCUGCGGGAAAGAGCUGUCUGUGUCUCCCACUGCGACAGCAACAACAGCAGUGUAAAGGCGUCAUGCAGCUGGUGAGCCGAACGAUGAGCUGGAAUACAACCUCUUUUUUCACCGGGUCCUUAGACCUGGAGGACGAGGUGAAGGUCCUGGGCGACUACGUCGUGGGCCAUCGCCUCGGCGAGGGUGCGUACGGCUCCGUCUAUGUCGUCAAGUACCUUCCAUCGGGGGACCGCUUCGCGUUGAAGAUUUUGCAGAAGCAGGAUCUCUUCACAAGCUCCGGCAUCUACCCCGUCGCCUACUACGACGCAGACGGCGGCGCGUCGCCGUGGGAGGCCGAUGGUGUGGAGUCGCACCCCCUCGGUGGGGCUCCUGUCCCCACGGUGGCUGCUCUGGCCAAGACCUUUGAGCAGCAGAUAAUCUCUGAGGCGAUGGUGAUGCAGGCCCUCGAGCACCCUCACGUAGUGAAGUUCUACAAGUUCUUGAAUUCCACGACAGCCUUUUACUUUGUGAUGGAGCUGGCGGAGGGCGGGAAGCUGUUAGACUUGAUUCUCUCCAAGAGCUAUUUUGCCGAGGACGAGGCGCGCAUGUACUUCCAGCAGCUCCUCUCUGCCAUCGACUACUGCCACCGCAACGGGGUCGCGCACAAGGACUUGAAGGCAGAGAACUUGCUGCUAAGCGACGACGGCCGCCUCUUGGUGUGCGACUUCGGCUUCUCCUCAAAAAUUGCCAAGGAGAACAUCGACGACCCGGAGCAGACAAUCGGCACGGGCGGCAACGCCGCUCUCCUCGACGCCAUUAACAAUGGAGGCAUGUUCGGGACGCUGCACUACACCAGCCCGGAGGCGGUGAUGGCGUCCUCGCAGCAGUGGAAGCUCGCCUUCGCGGGGGACAUGGCGGUGCCGGCAGAGACUUUGGGAGUCCCGGAGGACCAACAUCAGGGUGAUCCCGCUCGCUACUCCCCUUCUUCUACCGCGACACCCUGGUCCAGCUUCAGCACCUCGUCAUCCGCGGCGUCGAACGCAUCGUCGUGCAGCGGCUCAUUGGCGCGAGGGUGGCGGCGGAGGGCAGCGGAGGUGGUGAGUUCAAAGCACUGCAGGGCGCGCGGCAAAAUCAGCGGCAAAGGUAGCGGCGCCUCGCUGCGCACGCCAAACAGCACCAGCCUGACAGACGAGGCAGGAACGGCGCACAAGCCGUCGGUGGAGAAGAGACGGGCGCGACCUGAUUCUUUGACCCCACUGCCGUCCGCCGCCGAGGCCGCCGCCCCCGGCUCUUCUCUGCACCGCGCUGGUAGCACCCACAGCCUCGCCAGCGCCACCAACGGCCACAGGCACAAAUGGGUGUCGCCUACCAGCGGGCUGAACAAGGUCGGGGAGGGGCUUAGCAUCCUCGUAAAAUCCCUCAUGGGCAGCAGCGGCAGCAGCAGUGGCGGCCACCAUCAUCACCAUCAUAGACAUGACUCGCAUGCGCGCAGCGGCCACGCUAAGUCACCGCAAGGGAAGCAUGCAGCGAUAAUUGUGCCAUCAAGCGCUGAUGCCAAGGCCAAACUGAAGCUCUCGAGCAGCACUGCCGCUCUCUCCGUCGACGGAGAAGCGGAAGAGGGCAACUCUAGGCUGCAUCAGCCGCUGCGGCAUCUGCGCACCAACGCUCCUUCACAGGCGCGUGUGCCGUCGCCAUUGUCCGGUGCGUCGCCGUCCGUGUCCCCCACCACCUCGUCCUUUGCGAGCCCGCGAUUCCACGAGUCGGUGGCCGCGGCAGCAGCCUGUAUCGCCGAUUCCCCGAGCGCUACUGGGGCCGAAAAGCCCAGCACGCUCUCUUCACCCGCCGGCAGCCCAACUGACUCGAAGUCUGCCAUCACGUCACCAGCACGCCACCGCCCAGGCACGAAGGACGAUAUUGCCGUUUCCGACACCAACGUGGGUGAGCUCGGCCUUCCCGUCACGGCAUUCGACAGGGAUGCAGUGGGCGCGCCGCCACUGCCUCUGCCGGUACCGCCGACGACCGCCUCGACGCUGAAGACGCCGAACUCGAGCAGCGCGUCACCGCAGGCCUUGCAUCACUGUCACCAGGCUCAUGAGCACAAGCAUCACCACCGCCAUCGGCAGCGACGGUCCAACAGCAGUAGCCAGAUUUUCGGCGCUUCGACGCCAUGCAAGUCGCAGCCCAUCAUUGUGGAUCCUUUUCAGCAGGACUUGUGGAGCGCCGGCGUCAUUCUCUUCUUCAUGCUGACCGGCCGGUUGCCCUUCGAAGGCCGAGACGAAGAGGAGACGCUGCACUUGAUUCAGGUGAACGAGUUCGCCUUCAACGACGAGGAGGCCCAGCGCAUCUCACCGGCCGCGCGGAGGUUGGUGGCACAGAUGCUGGCCCCAGAGCCAACGGACCGACCCACCAUCGAGCAGAUCAUCGCAAACCCAUGGUUUAGGCGGGACUUGCAGCUCGAGAAGGACUUCCCGCACCGCAAGGACCUGAUGGAGGCGUUGGGCAGCGCGAGCCCGGACUCGGCACUCCGGCACCCUCUCCCUCAAAAGUCUGCCAAAGGAGCGGGGCCCGCAGCCGACGCGUGCGCGGGGCCCAGCGGCGCCGACCGCGGCGGUGACACAAGGGCCUGGAUGAGCACCAGCCAUGGCGUGCCGAGCUCAUGUGGCAGCAACGCGACCAACGCUGUUGCAGUGUCGCCUCGCUUCCACUCCUUCACCCCUGAUGUGCGCGCGCCCGUGCCGCUGGUGCCGUCGCACAACACCUCAUUCAACGUGGGACCGUCUGCACAUCCAGGCGGCGCGCCCGGCAGCAGCCCCGGCUCCGACCAGCACCGCGACGCUUCCGCGCACACUACCUGUAACUUCUUGGACUUCUCUACGCAUCACUCCAUCACCCCAGAGGAGGAGUGGGUGCUCGAGACAGCAUUUCGAAAGGUGGACUCGGACGGCUACGGCUGCAUCACGCGGGACCAGGUGCGCGAUAUGCUCACGACCCUCCACGGUGACGUCGUCCCAACCGAGGACGUCGACGAGCUUGUAUGUCUCUUCACCGGCGACGCGAGUGCCGCCAGCAUCACCUUCCAGCAGUUUCGCGAUGCGUGGGUGAGCAAGGACCUGGCCCACACACCCUUCACUCACAACAGCGAGUUUCAGUUGGUCAACAUCAUUGGGACGGAGAUGGACGCGGUUGAGCGGGGGGUGGUGCGGCAGCUAAGGACGGCAUUCAACAGCCUCGACGAAAACCACCGCGGCGUCAUUCAGCUCCAUCAGGUGCAGCGCGUCUUUGAGAAGUGUCAGAUAGCUGUGCACAAGGAGGAGUGUCUCUCCUUUAUCAAGUACUUCCACGAGUCAGAGCUGGCUUGCUGCCACAACCGGGCUUCCCUCUAUUCGCAGCGGCGGGGGCCAGCGCCGAACACGAUGAGCCUCUUGCACGCCUCCGGGGCUGCAUCGCCUCGGGGAUUUGCAAAAGUUCACUCGCUGCCCUCCGCGACAGGUGCCACGCAGGGCGGCAGUCCCGCGACGACGCACUACGGCGCCACCACACCCAAGCAGCCGUCCGAAACGGGCGAUUCUGACACCGCCACGACCACCGCCGCCGCUGGUGGCACAACCUACACCGGCUCGCAGGCCACAUCGCGGGGGGCGCCGAAAUCCCCCCUGUCGCCGUCUUCCAUCACCGUCUCCUUCAACUCUUUCGUGCGCGGCAUCGUGAAGAGCGACAUUCUGCUGAAGCACCCCCUUGGCCGCAAGCUGGCUGCCGCCACGAACCUCGCCGCGCUGUUUCAGUCCCGCAACGUGACGGAGUGCGUGCGGCACGGCUUUCUUGUCACUGGCCUGCAGAGCGUCAUAUUGACGAAGCUGGCAAGCAUGCCGGAGCGACUGCAGCUGUUGUACUCAGACAAGGUGGUCUCCAACGCUGCGAACGUCUACUCGUUUCGGUACCUCGGCUCCUCUUCGCUGGCGACGAUGCCCACGACGAGCACGGCGACACCGCCGAUGUCUUCGCCGCUGGUGGCCAUGGCGGCGAGCACAGACCCGGCGGCGACUUGCUCCCCUAUAGGAUUGCAAGGCAGCUUUUCGGCUCAGCACCGCAACCACGCCACUCCGGCGGUGUCUUCACUGCAACGACGCACUGUCAGCUCAGAUGCUGGCAAUGGCGCAACAGGCAGCACGGCGGCGACGAGCAACGCUGGCACCCACCCCCACAACCCCAGCCCUUGCCUGUCUGACCGAAGCACUGUGCGCUCGCACGCCACGUGCACGAAGCCGUCGUCUGCCAGCCCCCACAGUCUCGCGCGAGCAGACUCACCCGGCUCUGCCAUGCACUCUCCCAGCCCAGAGAUCAGCGGCAGCACGCUCACAAGUUGCGGCGCCUUCGUCUCGCAGUCGCAACGAAGCCCCGCUGUGCCGAUGCAUCGUUCGUCAAGCCGCCCCCGAGCGACGGGCGGCACCUCUGCGCACCGGAUGGCAUCGCGGAGCGCUAGCGCCAGGGGGGCGGCUCCAAGUCACCCCGUUGCCCUUUGCUGCCCCUCGAACUCGCUGCAACACACCCCGACGUCGCUUUGCGCUCGCCGCCGGCACCUUCGCGGGCAGGACGCGCACACCGACCCUCGCCACGACACGGUUCGCGACGGUGACGGCGUUCGUGACAACACACGCGGCUUCUCUUCCUGCCCACACAACAGCUCCUCCGCCGUGAACACCGCCAUCGACGACAGCCAUAGUAAGCGCAGCCGCUCAGCCCUCUCCCCCGGCAUGGGGGAGGAGCUCAAGGGCCCGAACACCACGCCGGCAGCUGGUGGGCAGCGGAGGGUCAAGGAGAACGUCACACAGCUUCCCUUCCCCUCCAUCUCGAGCGCGGUCGCCAUCCUGUCGACGACGUCAGCGACUUUGGCGCAUCCAGGAGUGGCCUACAGCAGCAGUGACGCGGUGACGCUGGUGAAUGGCGUGUGCGACCUAGACGUUAUUCUGUCGCCUGCCAGCCUGGGCUACACGAUGGUGCAGUUCCGCUGCAUUCAUGGCAAAACAAGCGACUUUCACGAAGCCGUGGCGUUUAUUUCGAAUGUCCUCGAGGUGGAGCGGGAGCAGGCGAUGCAAGACACCAUGACGCGCGGAGAGAGUGAGCUCAUGUGAAGAGAAUUGGAGGCCUUAAACGACAUGGUGCAUGAGUGUGUGUGUGUGUGCCUGCAUGUAUAUGUAUUAUGUGUAUAUGUGUGCAUGUGUGCUGGUGUAAGAAGACGCAAUAUGGCAGGCGCAACGAGCGUCUCUUCUAUCUCUCUCUCAUCUUUCGCUGUGACUCUACUCCCAUAGGCCAAAACGUACACACACACACAAGCGAGC